ACAAUGCGGGACUAUCAGUCUUGCAAUUGGAUUGAGAACAAUGUACAACUCUUAUCGAUAAGCCAUUGGAGGGCAAGUCUGGUGCCAGCAGCCGCGGUAAUUCCAGCUCCAAUAGCGUAUAUUAACGUUGUUGCAGUUAAAAAGCUCGUAGUUGAAGUGUGGGUGAUCGCUGUUGUGAGACUUCGGUCUCUCGACAGUAAGUCACCCCCUUCCAGUAUCCAGCAGUGGGUAUUCACUUACUUACUACUGUGUGUUGGUCGUUUACUGUGAGAAAAUUAGAGUGUUCAAAGCAGGCGUUUGCUUGAAUAGAUUAGCAUGGAAUAAUAAUUGAAGGCUUUCGUGUUCGAUUUGAUUGGUUUGUUCAUGGAAGCAAGGUUAAAAGGAACAGUUGGGGGUAUUCAUAUUCACUAGUUAGA
Molecule: ribosomal RNA, 416 nt
Filed under: Blastocystis sp.
Lineage: Eukaryota; Bigyra; Opalinata; Blastocystidae
Description: SSU rRNA
Rfam family: Eukaryotic small subunit ribosomal RNA
Source: RNAcentral